UUAAAGGGCUGCAGUAUAUUGACUGUACAAAGGUAGCAUAAUCAUUAGUCAUUUAAUUGAUGACUUGUAUGAAGGAUUGGAUGAAAUAUAAACUGUCUCUUAAUUAUAUUUAGAAUUUAAUUUUUUAAUUAAAAAGUUAAAAUAAAUUAGAAAGACGAGAAGACCCUAUAGAGUUUUAUAGGUAAAAUUAAUUGAGAUUAUUUGUAAAAAUUAAAAUUAAGAUUAAUUUAUUUAUUUUGUUGGGGUGACAGAAAAAUAUGAAAAACUUUUUAUAUGUUUAAAACAUUAAUAAGUGGUUAAAUGAUCCAGUAUUAUUGAUUAUAAGAAAAAAUUACCUUAGGGAUAACAGCGUAAUUUUUUUUUUUAGUUCAUAUAAAAAAAAAAGUUUGCGACCUCGAUGUUGGAUUAAGAUAAAAUUUAAAUGCAGAAG
RNAcentral lists this ribosomal RNA (430 nucleotides) under Sesamia nonagrioides (Mediterranean corn borer). Its description in RNAcentral is "partial 16S ribosomal RNA". Lineage: Eukaryota; Metazoa; Arthropoda; Insecta; Lepidoptera; Noctuidae. The record is from RNAcentral.